UUUAAAAACUUUUAUAUUGCUUUGGAAACUUUUUGAUUAAUUAUGCUAAGUUGUACAGAUGCACAGUGAAAGUUAAACUUAGCAACAGUUUGAUGUAUAGAACGUGACUUGAUUGAAUAUGCUUGCAACUAAAGGAUGCGCGGAUAAGAGUUAAGCAAGCAAUUUAUCUAAGUAAGUAAGUGUGUUAGUUAGACAAUGACAAGAAGCAUUACAAACACAAUAAACAUAUAGUGGUUCGGUGCACCCCAGCACCUACAUCCACUCCCCAAGACCUAUUGGGAAUUUCACUAUAAUCCUACAGAUUACAGCCGGUUGUUUUACAAGCUCACAACCCAACUUGUUGUUUUACGAGAUCACAACAAACUCGGUCGGUUUUCAC
RNAcentral lists this long non-coding RNA (379 nucleotides) under Phoenix dactylifera (date palm). RNAcentral describes it as "long non-coding RNA (PDAC_LNC022819)". Lineage: Eukaryota; Viridiplantae; Streptophyta; Magnoliopsida; Arecales; Arecaceae. The record is from RNAcentral.